AUAGAAUAAGAAAGGGUGAGAAGUUAUACUAUAUUUAAGAAUAUAUUUUUAGAGGUGGCACAUAUGUAUAAUUAUAACUUUAGAAUAAUGAAUGACUCAAGUUUAGUUUAUGGGAAGGUCUUAGAGGUGCCACAUCAACAUCAUCACAAUUUUGCACCCAAAUUUACUCUUAAUUUUAAGAAACUCAAUUGAUGGAAAGUAUGAAUGUCAAUCAAUUCCAUGGUCAAGGGUUAAAUUUCCAUGUUGCCGCGUUCAAAUCAUCAAAACAUGACUUUGUCUCUCUAAUUUCAGAAAGAUCAAGAGCGUUCCAUUAGAGUUUUGAGUAGAUAUGUGCUUCUACGAUUAGUUACCGAGGCAUUGAUGCUUUUUUUUUUUUUUAAAGAAGGCAUUCAUGCUAAUAACUCUUAUAAGAAACUAUUCAAUUAAAAACAUAACACACGGGCUUGGAAUGAAAACGAAUAAAAAAUAUUACUUUUUUAAUGCAUUUUUAAUAUGUUCCCUUCCACUUCUUUAUUAGACUCUUGAUCUUAUAACAAUGUUAAAUAAAAAAUAAAAACUUUAAUUUCAAUGAAAACAACCAUCUUUUCAUAUAUGAAGUGCACUCUCAACAAAACCCUCCAUUUUCUCAAAACUUAUGUAUGUGAAAUCAAAGAAAGGAUAUUCAUUAGAGAAAACAAAAAAUUAUAGAAAUAUACAUAUA
Molecule: long non-coding RNA, 700 nt
Filed under: Medicago truncatula (barrel medic)
Lineage: Eukaryota; Viridiplantae; Streptophyta; Magnoliopsida; Fabales; Fabaceae
Description: long non-coding RNA (MTRU_LNC005752)
Source: RNAcentral